This 583-nucleotide long non-coding RNA is filed under the name Homo sapiens (human). RNAcentral's name for it is "HSALNT0202691". Lineage: Eukaryota; Metazoa; Chordata; Mammalia; Primates; Hominidae. The record is from RNAcentral.
UCUGGAAGGCUUGCUUGUCCUUCAGAUAAUCCUGGAGGACAAGUACUUCUUCAGGCUGUUUGCUUGGAGCUUUCCCCGAAGCAACCAAACUGGAGCACCUGCCCUGCGAUGGCCGUAGCUGUGCCCUCAGCCUUGCUUCACGAUGAGGAAUGAUGGUGACUACCUGGCACUGCUAUUAUGUCGUGCCACUGGACAGGGAGGCCUGUGUUGGGAGCUGCCAGGAGCCAUUGUGAGCAGGCAAGUUUGAGAUAUCUGACCACAGUGAGGGCCCUAAGUUCUCCAAGAGGGUGGCUGAGACUCCUAGUCCUGGAUGAUCUGCUUCUUGUCUCUUACUGGGCAUGAGAACCCUGAACCAGAACAGAGAAUUCUAGGGACACGUGUUUCCUUUGGCCUGAACCCUCUGAUAGCCAACACCCACCUGGCACCUCACUCCUGGGGCCUCUGCCGUACACUUCUGAGUACGGGGUCUCUGACAACUUCACAUUACCUACCAUCAUUUCCUCUGUGACCUUUACAGUUGUCAAAUGAGCUUAUGGUCUUUUUUUUUUUCCCUCUAGUCCUUUGCCUCUGGAGUGAAAUAAAG